AAUUUUGCAAUCUUCUU
Molecule: small RNA, 17 nt
Filed under: Arabidopsis thaliana (thale cress)
Lineage: Eukaryota; Viridiplantae; Streptophyta; Magnoliopsida; Brassicales; Brassicaceae
Description: ATSL207920
Source: RNAcentral